This 1378-nucleotide ribosomal RNA is filed under the name Microbacterium sp. cf332. RNAcentral describes it as "bacterial LSU rRNA". It matches the Rfam family "Bacterial large subunit ribosomal RNA", at positions 1550 to 2925 of the family's 2925-position model. Lineage: Bacteria; Bacillati; Actinomycetota; Actinomycetes; Micrococcales; Microbacteriaceae. The record is from RNAcentral.
UGAUGGCUGAGACACGAUGCGGAUAAAAAGUGGGUGAUCCUAUGCUGCCGAGAAAAGCAUCGACGCGAGGUUCUAGCUGCCCGUACCCCAAACCGACUCAGGUGGUCAGGUAGAGAAUACUAAGGAGAUCGAGAGAAUCGUGGUUAAGGAACUCGGCAAAAUGCCCCCGUAACUUCGGGAGAAGGGGGGCCUUCCACUUAUUAGGAUUUACUCCGAAAGGGUGUGGAGGCCGCAGAGACUAGUGGGUAGCGACUGUUUACUAAAAACACAGGUCCGUGCCAAGUCGCAAGACGAUGUAUACGGACUGACGCCUGCCCGGUGCUGGAAGGUUAAGAGGACCGGUUAGCCGCAAGGCGAAGCUGAGAAUUUAAGCCCCAGUAAACGGCGGUGGUAACUAUAACCAUCCUAAGGUAGCGAAAUUCCUUGUCGGGUAAGUUCCGACCUGCACGAAUGGCGUAACGACUUCCCAACUGUCUCAACCGCGAACUCGGCGAAAUUGCACUACGAGUAAAGAUGCUCGUUACGCGCAGCAGGACGGAAAGACCCCGUGACCUUUACUACAGCUUGGUAUUGGUGUUCGGUGUGGCUUGUGUAGGAUAGGUGGGAGACUUUGAAGCGGUGACGCCAGUUACCGUGGAGUCAUUGUUGAAAUACCACUCUGGUCACUCUGGAUAUCUAACUUCGAACCGUAAUCCGGUUCAGGGACAGUGCCUGGUGGGUAGUUUAACUGGGGCGGUUGCCUCCCAAAAAGUAACGGAGGCGCCCAAAGGUUCCCUCAACCUGGUUGGCAAUCAGGUGGCGAGUGUAAGUGCACAAGGGAGCUUGACUGUGAGACUGACAGGUCGAGCAGGGACGAAAGUCGGGACUAGUGAUCCGGCAGUGGCUUGUGGAAGCGCUGUCGCUCAACGGAUAAAAGGUACCUCGGGGAUAACAGGCUGAUCUUGCCCAAGAGUCCAUAUCGACGGCAUGGUUUGGCACCUCGAUGUCGGCUCGUCGCAUCCUGGGGCUGGAGUAGGUCCCAAGGGUUGGGCUGUUCGCCCAUUAAAGCGGUACGCGAGCUGGGUUUAGAACGUCGUGAGACAGUUCGGUCCCUAUCCGCUGCGCGCGUAGGAAAUUUGAGAGGAUCUGACCCUAGUACGAGAGGACCGGGUUGGACGAACCUCUGGUGUGCCAGUUGUUCCGCCAGGAGCACCGCUGGUUAGCUACGUUCGGGAUGGAUAACCGCUGAAAGCAUCUAAGCGGGAAGCCGGCCUCAAGAUGAGAUUUCCAUGCCUUCGGGCGAGAGGCUCCCAGCCAGACUACUGGGUUGAUAGGCCGGAUGUGGAAGCGUGGUAACACGUGAAGCUGACCGGUACUAAUAAGCCGAUGACUUGAUAAC